UGCUUCAUCGUCUAGCGGCAAGACACCCGACUGUUACUCGGGCGACCGAGGUUCGAAUCCUCGUGGAGCAG
Molecule: transfer RNA, 71 nt
Filed under: Corynebacterium glyciniphilum
Lineage: Bacteria; Bacillati; Actinomycetota; Actinomycetes; Mycobacteriales; Corynebacteriaceae
Description: tRNA-Asn
Rfam family: tRNA
About the family: Transfer RNA (tRNA) molecules are approximately 80 nucleotides in length. Their secondary structure includes four short double-helical elements and three loops (D, anti-codon, and T loops). Further hydrogen bonds mediate the characteristic L-shaped molecular structure. tRNAs have two regions of fundamental functional importance: the anti-codon, which is responsible for specific mRNA codon recognition, and the 3' end, to which the tRNAs corresponding amino acid is attached (by aminoacyl-tRNA synthetases). tRNAs cope with the degeneracy of the genetic code in two manners: having more than one tRNA (with a specific anti-codon) for a particular amino acid; and 'wobble' base-pairing, i.e. permitting non-standard base-pairing at the 3rd anti-codon position.
Source: RNAcentral